Molecule: ribosomal RNA, 253 nt
Filed under: uncultured bacterium
Lineage: Bacteria
Description: partial 16S ribosomal RNA
Rfam family: Bacterial small subunit ribosomal RNA
Source: RNAcentral
UACGUAGGGGGCAAGCGUUGUCCGGAAUUAUUGGGCGUAAAGAGCGCGUAGGCGGUCCGGUAAGUCGGCUGUGAAAGUCAAGGGCUCAACCCUUGGAAGCCGGCCGAUACUGUCGGACUAGAGUCCGGAAGAGGCGAGUGGAAUUCCCGGUGUAGCGGUGAAAUGCGUAGAUAUCAGGAGGAACACCUGCGGUGUAGACGGCUUUCUGGACCAUUGCUGACGCUGAGACACGAAAGCGUGGGUAGCAAACAGG